This 517-nucleotide ribosomal RNA is filed under the name uncultured bacterium. Its description in RNAcentral is "bacterial SSU rRNA". It matches the Rfam family "Bacterial small subunit ribosomal RNA", at positions 791 to 1307 of the family's 1533-position model. The record is from RNAcentral.
UAGUCCACGCCGUAAACGAUGGAUACUAGCUGUCGGGACUUUUAGUCACGGCGGCCAAGCGAAAGUGAUAAGUAUCCCACCUGGGGAGUACGUUCGCAAGAAUGAAACUCAAAGGAAUUGACGGGGCCCGCACAAGCGGUGGAGCAUGUGGUUUAAUUCGAUGAUACGCGAGGAACCUUACCAGGGCUUAAAUGCAAGAUGACAGGUUUAGAGAUAGACUUUUCUUCGGACAUUUUGCAAGGUGCUGCAUGGUUGUCGUCAGCUCGUGCCGUGAGGUGUCAGGUUAAGUCCUAUAACGAGCGCAACCCCUACCGUUAGUUGCCAGCAUGUAAAGAUGGGGACUCUAACGGGACUGCCGGUGCAAACCGAGAGGAAGGUGGGGAUGACGUCAAAUCAUCACGGGCCCUUACGUCCUGGGGCUACACACGUGCUACAAUGGGCCGGUACAGAGAGCAGCCACUCCGCGAGGGGGGANCGGAAUCUACAAAACCGGGUCACAGUUCGGGAUCGGGGGUCU